Molecule: ribosomal RNA, 501 nt
Filed under: uncultured bacterium
Lineage: Bacteria
Description: partial 16S ribosomal RNA
Rfam family: Bacterial small subunit ribosomal RNA
Source: RNAcentral
AUUGAACGCUGGCGGCAUGCCUUACACAUGCAAGUCGAACGGCAGCACGGGUGCUUGCACCUGGUGGCGAGUGGCGAACGGGUGAGUAAUACAUCGGAACGUACCUUAUCGUGGGGGAUAACGGAGCGAAAGUUACGCUAAUACCGCAUACGCUCGGAGGGGGAAAGCGGGGGUACGUAAGGGCUCGAGCGAUUAGAGGGGCCGAUGUCUGAUUAGCUUGUUGGUGAGGUAAAAGCUCACCAAGGCGAUGAUCAGUAGCCGGUCUGAGAGGACGAUCAGCCACACUGGGACUGAGACACGGCCCAGACUCCUACGGGAGGCAGCAGUGGGGAAUUUUGGACAAUGGGGGCAACCCUGAUCCAGCAAUGCCGCGUGAGUGAAGAAGGCCUUCGGGUUGUAAAGCUCUUUUGUCAGGGAAGAAACAGCAGCUCUAACACAGUCUGCGAAUGACGGUACCUGAAGAAUAAGCACCGGCUAACUACGUGCCAGCCGCCGCGGUAA